Molecule: non-coding RNA, 86 nt
Organism: Mycena alexandri
Lineage: Eukaryota; Fungi; Basidiomycota; Agaricomycetes; Agaricales; Mycenaceae
Source: the annotation of a GenBank genome assembly
GUACACUUAGUGUAAUGGUUGCACACGCAGAUAGAUCAGGCCAUCUGCUUCCCGCGAGGUCGCCGGUUCAAGUCCUGUAGCGUCCA